RNAcentral lists this ribosomal RNA (110 nucleotides) under Canis lupus dingo (dingo). The record is from RNAcentral. Lineage: Eukaryota; Metazoa; Chordata; Mammalia; Carnivora; Canidae.
CUGUACAGCCAUACAGGCCUAAAUGCUCUCCAUCUCGUCUGAUCUUGGAAACUAAGUACAGUUGGGCUUGGUUAGUACUUGAAUGGGAGACGAAACUUGCGUUCUUUGGA